AUGUAGAAUUUGUAUCGAACACUUCGCCUUUGAGUAUUUCGUCUCCUAUAACUAAUCCGGACAGUGUAGAAUGGGAUUUGCUGACAUUGCAAUUACCUCGUGCAUAUGCCGCUAUUCGACGAAGCCACUUUGACGACAUGUCGAAUUUUUAAUGUUUCAAUGAAACACUCACAAUUAACUUAGUGAAUUGUACAUAAAAUUGCAGGUUAUAAGCUGCAUAAAUAAACAAAAGUUAGAUGGUAGUAGAA
This is a long non-coding RNA of Dendroctonus ponderosae (mountain pine beetle), 248 nucleotides long. RefSeq lists it as uncharacterized. The transcript is spliced from 2 exons. Lineage: Eukaryota; Metazoa; Arthropoda; Insecta; Coleoptera; Curculionidae. The record is from RefSeq and is a predicted model, not a curated record.